AGUGAACGCUGGCGGUAGGCCUAACACAUGCAAGUCGAACGGCAGCACAGUAAGAGCUUGCUCUUACGGGUGGCGAGUGGCGGACGGGUGAGGAAUACAUCGGAAUCUACUUUUUCGUGGGGGAUAACGUAGGGAAACUUACGCUAAUACCGCAUACGACCUACGGGUGAAAGCAGGGGAUCUUCGGACCUUGCGCGAUUGAAUGAGCCGAUGUCGGAUUAGCUAGUUGGCGGGGUAAAGGCCCACCAAGGCGACGAUCCGUAGCUGGUCUGAGAGGAUGAUCAGCCACACUGGAACUGAGACACGGUCCAGACUCCUACGGGCGGCAGCAGUGGGGAAUAUUGGACAAUGGGCGCAAGCCUGAUCCAGCCAUACCGCGUGGGUGAAGAAGGCCUUCGGGUUGUAAAGCCCUUUUGUUGGGAAAGAAAAGCAGCAGGUUAAUACCCCGCUGUUCUGACGGUACCCAAAGAAUAAGCACCGGCUAACUUCG
RNAcentral lists this ribosomal RNA (490 nucleotides) under uncultured bacterium. Its description in RNAcentral is "partial 16S ribosomal RNA". It matches the Rfam family "Bacterial small subunit ribosomal RNA", at positions 29 to 505 of the family's 1533-position model. The record is from RNAcentral.